CCUUGACAUACUAAGAACUUUCCAGAGAUGGAUUGGUGCCUUCGGGAACUUAGAUACAGGUGCUGCAUGGCUGUCGUCAGCUCGUGUCGUGAGAUGUUGGGUUAAGUCCCGCAACGAGCGCAACCCUUUUCCUUAUUUGCCAGCGGGUCAUGCCGGGAACUUUAAGGAUACUGCCAGUGACAAACUGGAGGAAGGCGGGGACGACGUCAAGUCAUCAUGGCCCUUACGGCCAGGGCUACACACGUGCUACAAUGGUCGGUACAAAGGGUUGCUACCUCGCGAGAGGAUGCUAAUCUCAAAAAGCCGAUCGUAGUCCGGAUCGCAGUCUGCAACUCGACUGCGUGAAGUCGGAAUCGCUAGUAAUCGCGGAUCAGAAUGCCGCGGUGAAUACGUUCCCGGGCCUUGUGCACACCGCCCGUCACACCAUGGGAGUUUGUUGCACCAGAAGUAGGUAGUCUAACCGCAAGGAGGACGCUUACCACGGUGUGGCCGAUGACUGGGGUGAAGUCGUAACAAGGUAAGCGUAGAUGA
Molecule: ribosomal RNA, 531 nt
Filed under: uncultured bacterium
Lineage: Bacteria
Description: bacterial SSU rRNA
Rfam family: Bacterial small subunit ribosomal RNA
Source: RNAcentral